UCGAGUCGGGUACCCGCGGGUAAAAUUGCCAUCCCUACUUGUGGAGCUUUCCUUAAUUCUGCGGCAAGCCGGCCACACCGUAGCACAGGCAGCAGCAUGAGGCUGUUCGGGAAGCACGUGUUCCCGAGGCAGAUCGCCCUGUUCGCCGCCGGGCUGCUGUUCUUCGGGGCGACGACAUACGACGUGCACCGGUCCAUCAAGAACAACGAGCAGCCGCCGACCAGGGAUCAGAUGGAGGCGCUGCAAGACUACAUCAACUCCCGGAAGAAGUAGGGCUCCGAUUUGCGCCUCGUAGGUGUGUAAUCGUCUGCAAAUAAUGUCGGAGCACAAGGGGGUUCUUCUCGUGGAGGACAGAGGUCGCGCGGGCGGGGGUGCGCGCUACGUGUUCGACGUUAUCUCCGUGAGGACCUCAAUGUGUUUGUAGAUCAAUACAUGGCUGUGUAAUUGUAAAAUCUGCUUCAAUAUGAGUACAUAGACUCCUUCCAAAAAAUUUUUUUUUACAUAGACGUUUAUGUACUCA
Panicum virgatum (switchgrass) is the source of this 520-nucleotide long non-coding RNA. RefSeq lists it as uncharacterized. NCBI's taxonomy places the organism in Eukaryota, Viridiplantae, Streptophyta, Magnoliopsida, Poales, Poaceae. The record is from RefSeq and is a predicted model, not a curated record. The transcript has 2 exons.